This 477-nucleotide long non-coding RNA is filed under the name Panax ginseng (ginseng). RNAcentral's name for it is "long non-coding RNA (PGIN_LNC019191)". Lineage: Eukaryota; Viridiplantae; Streptophyta; Magnoliopsida; Apiales; Araliaceae. The record is from RNAcentral.
UGGUUGUUGUGUUUCUGUUUCUGCUUUGCUUUUUUUUUUAAAAAUAUUACUCCCUCCGUUCCUUGUUUUAGACGUAUGCACAAGAAUUAAAGAAAUAAUUGAUAAGCAUUAACUAUAUUAUCAAUUGUCUAUAAUACGCUUCACCUCACUUAUCUCAUAAAUAUGGAUCAAAAAAUUAGGUGGAGUAAUAAGGGUCAAUUUGGGAAAAAUAGUAAUCAAAUCUCUUAGAUAAGCACAAACGACAAAUAAUUAGGAAUAAAAAAAAAGUCUAAAACUACCUACAUAUAGGAAUGGAGGGAGUAAUAUUUUAGGUUUUAUAUUGGAGUGACUAUAGCACAUUGCUCAGGGAUUAUAAAGUUGGUUUAUUGAGGUGGGGUUUCAUGGGUUGAACUCAAGGAAUCAUGGGUAGCUUUAGUGAAGAAUCAUCAAAUAUUAUUUAUGAAGAUGAGGAGGAGAUGAUAUUUAUUUUUAUUUUUU